UACGGAGGAUGCGAGCGCUAUCCGGAUUUAUUGGGUUUAAAGGGUGCGUAGGCGGACUGUCAAGUCAGCGGUAAAAUUGAGAGGCUCAACCUCUUCCCGCCGUUGAAACUGGUGGUCUUGAGUGGAUGAGAAGUACGCGGAAUGCGUGGUGUAGCGGUGAAAUGCAUAGAUAUCACGCAGAACUCCGAUUGCGAAGGCAGCGUACCGGCAUCCAACUGACGCUGAGGCACGAGAGCGUGGGGAUCAAACGGG
RNAcentral lists this ribosomal RNA (252 nucleotides) under uncultured bacterium. RNAcentral's name for it is "partial 16S ribosomal RNA". It matches the Rfam family "Bacterial small subunit ribosomal RNA", at positions 524 to 776 of the family's 1533-position model. The record is from RNAcentral.